RNAcentral lists this microRNA (23 nucleotides) under Oreochromis niloticus (Nile tilapia). RNAcentral describes it as "oni-miR-10777". Lineage: Eukaryota; Metazoa; Chordata; Actinopteri; Cichliformes; Cichlidae. The record is from miRBase by way of RNAcentral.
UUAAUCAACUCAGUAUGAACAGA